AUCCAAUCAUCACCUUUCACCACUGCACUCAACCUUUCCCCAAUUCUGUUCUUUUUUUUCUUGGUGGGUUUCGAAUCCCAAUCACCAACCCAAAUAUCCUAAAAAUUUGAAAUCCCCUUUCCACACUGAUGUAAGUGUUUCUAGCAAAAUGAGUUUUGGCAGAGCGAGUAAGGUUUCUUGAUUCUGGAACACCUCCAACUAUCUUACCGACAUACUUUUUAUGAUCGUGUGGUGGUUGAAGUGAAGAACCAGGUUGCCAUGAAACCUGUCGGGGAUGAUCCUAAUUUGGGUACCCAACUUUGCUAUCGAACAAAGAAUAAUCUUCUUGGUCCUGUGCUAACUGCUCAUUUUGAAGGUGUAGAUGUAAAAUUGGAACCAUUUCAAACCUUCGUUUCACCAAAAGAUUUUGUUUUUUGCAAGCGUCAGUUCCCGCAAACGCAAAGGUGGCCGCCGGAGACGCGAUGAUUUCUCGUUGCAAUGGGUGGCCUUUGUCACGCGAUCUAGUUUAGUCCUGGAUCAUGGCGUGGAUGAUCUGUUUUUCUUUCUACAGCAGCUCCAUACCGUAUUCGCGACAAGCCUGCGGCUUUUCGUGUCGCAACAGUGGUGUCUCUCUCCAGUAACGAUGCCCCAAAUCCCCUUUUCAUACUCUCCCAAUUUCCGAUCAAUAAUCGAAUUAGGGUUUUCAAAAAGUCUUCCCCUUUUUUCUUUUGUGCCUCUUUGAUUCCCCUUGGAAGCAAUCACCUUAGCCGGUAGAUAUUACAUUCUUCAUGGUUGAUCAUGACUAGUGAUGACUGAUGAGGUUGAGAUGUUGUGUGGGUGACGAGCAAGGAAGCUUCUAGGGUUUUUUUGGAAACAUUUUCAGAAUAGGAAGGUUGCUUUCAUAAUCUUUUUAUUUAUUUUUACUUUACUAAUUUUCAUGUUAUAAUUUAAUUAUUUUCACGUAAUAAAAUAUUUACUUUAUCCAG
Vigna angularis (adzuki bean) is the source of this 965-nucleotide long non-coding RNA. RefSeq lists it as uncharacterized. NCBI's taxonomy places the organism in Eukaryota, Viridiplantae, Streptophyta, Magnoliopsida, Fabales, Fabaceae. The record is from RefSeq and is a predicted model, not a curated record. The transcript is spliced from 2 exons.